CUUAAGGUGGUACCUAACACUACAGGGAGAUAACUCUGUAAAGUCAGCUAAACGUUUUAAUUACGUUGUGUUGUAAGAGGAAUAUUAAGCUUCUCAAUUAUCAAAAUUGGUGUUUGUCAAAUUGCUAUAUAACCAGUGUAAUUUUUCUGACAAAACGGUUGGUUCAAAAAAUUAAAAAUUUUUAUAUUUUUAUUUAAGUCGCAAAGUAAAUACUUUGACAAA
RNAcentral lists this long non-coding RNA (222 nucleotides) under Mytilus galloprovincialis (Mediterranean mussel). Lineage: Eukaryota; Metazoa; Mollusca; Bivalvia; Mytilida; Mytilidae. The record is from RNAcentral.